RNAcentral lists this ribosomal RNA (305 nucleotides) under uncultured bacterium. RNAcentral's name for it is "bacterial SSU rRNA". It matches the Rfam family "Bacterial small subunit ribosomal RNA", at positions 337 to 639 of the family's 1533-position model. The record is from RNAcentral.
ACCUACGGGACGCAGCAGUGAGGAAUAUUGGUCAAUGGGCUUACGCCUGAACCAGCCAAGUCGCGUGAGGGAAGACUGCCCUAUGGGUUGUAAACCUCUUUUGUCAGGGAGCAACGCCGGCUACGUGUAGCCGGACUGAGAGUACCUGAAGAAAAAGCAUCGGCUAACUCCGUGCCAGCAGCCGCGGUAAUACGGAGGAUGCGAGCGUUAUCCGGAUUUAUUGGGUUUAAAGGGUGAGUAGGCGGAAUGCCAAGUCAGCGGUAAAAUCGUGGGGCUCAACCUAGGUCCGCCGUUGAAACUGGCGU